This is a long non-coding RNA of Tupaia belangeri chinensis (Chinese tree shrew), 1994 nucleotides long. RefSeq lists it as uncharacterized. The transcript is spliced from 5 exons. The record is from RefSeq and is a predicted model, not a curated record. Lineage: Eukaryota; Metazoa; Chordata; Mammalia; Scandentia; Tupaiidae.
AAGGGAGACGCAUCAGAGGAUCCAAGUCUAUGAACUUGGCUUUUCUUAUCCGGUCCCCGGGAACGGGAGCAGUCUACCAGAGAGGGAAGGGGAAUGACAAUUUGUCAGGACACGAUUCCGUUUGCUUUCCAGAGAAAUUUUAUUUUCAUUCUUGAGUAAUGAUUUCUUCUGUUCUUAAAGCAAAGGGGGAAGGAUGGAUGCAAAAAAAAAAAAAAGAAAGAAAAGAAAAGAAAAAGAAAAAUCACGUUUCAAGAUACGGUAAGCUAUUUCUUGGAACAAGCCUCACGUUGCUUUCCUUGUGUAGGGCAAACCCGCUGUCCCCGAGCGCCUCGGUGGUCAGACUGAGGGAUUUCUACCUCACACUGUGCACAUUGCACAGCAAGAUAGAAAGAUUUGUUUAUAUUAAACAGCCUAUUUAUGUAUCAAUAUUAGUUGGAAGGACCAGGCGCUGAGCCUUUCUCUGUAACAUGUGACUCUGUCAAUUGAAGACAGGACAGGAAAAACAAAAGAGGAAAUAGUUGAGAUUACUGCACAUGUUGGUAAAAACAAAACAAACACAAAAGGAGUGGUUUAAAAUGCCAUUUUUGCACAGUGUUAGGAAUUGUAAAAUCCACAGAAGAUGUUACUUGCACAAAGAGAAAUUAAUAUUUUUAAGUGGGGGGGGCCUUAAAAACUAAAAUAAAAUUUAAAUUCUACUUCUGUUGUCUAUUAUGUUAUUGAGCUAAUGAUUGAUUGAGAAAAUACCUUUUAUACUCUUUUAUCAUGGUACUGUAACUGUAUCCAUAUUAUAAAUAUAAUUAUCUUAAGGAAUUUUUUAUUAUUUUUUUAUGUCCAAGUGCCCAUGUGACUCUGCUGGUAUAAUUUAGCACUUAAGUGUAAAUUCUAUUUCCUCUUGUGUGUUUUACCAAGUAUUUAUACUCUGGUGCAACUAACUACUGUGUGAGGAAUUGGUCCAUGUGCAAUAAAUACCAAUGAAGCACAACCAAGAUUAUGUACCGCUUGUCUAUAAGGGGUCAGUGAUAAUAAAAAAGACAGGUUGUUUAGUUCAAAAUACAAACUGAAUUUCUCAUAGAGCUCUUUUAAUAGCUUUUGUGACUCAAUAACAUAGCAAAAUGCCUCUAGACCAAAUAAGGCAUUCACCUACUGAGAACUGCAGAUCUGUCCUAAAUUUUCGUAGCCAGAUUCAAGGUAUUGUAGACUACUUGCUGGAUCCCAUCUGCUGCACUUGACUUAAGUGACAUUUGGGAUUGUGUAUUGUCUUAAAAAAGAAAAAAAAAAAUCAGACCAAGUAACUCAGCUACAACUUUGCACAGAAACAAGAAAGACUAACUUACACAAGCCAGCAGUGGCCUAUUUGGAAUGCGCUCCAUCAGUAACCACGGAGCAGGCAGCAAGACCAGUGAGAGGCGGCGGAGGAGAGCAAGGGGCACACACGUCUAAUCUGUUCCUCUGGAGAUUCCAGAACCAUUUCUGUCCUUGAGAAAUGCCUGCUGCAGGAAACGAAAGUCCCUCCGUAAUAUCUCAUCAAAAUUCUGAGACUGGAACGCUUAGUCAGAUGCCUCUUCACCGGAAAGUGGAGGUGGCAGAUCCUCCGAGAGAAGAAACGGUCUGCUCCUGAGCACAGAUUGCAACAGAAGGUCUGCCCACAUCGCGGUAGGACAUCUUACUUCUGGUCUACCUGCUCCAUGGUUGUCUCGCCAGCACACGAGAUCCACUCACUCAUCCUGAUAUUUGCACCUGGUCCUCCUGUGCGUUCCGGAAGUAUCCGCAUGCCGGCUGCUUGAAGCCCUGGCGGUCAUAGGUCGGCGUCUGGUUGGGCUUGAACUUCAUCACUUCUUUCACUGCUGCUGCUCCUCUGGCCAGAGAGUGGGGACAAGGGCCAGUCGGGGCACAGGGGCGCUGGUGGGUGAGGCAGCAGCGAGGGGGAAAGCAAGCAAGACCGUCCAUCGGAGGCGGCAGCUGCUCCAAAGCCACAAAGCAGUAUUUUCCAAAAA